Long non-coding RNA from Oncorhynchus keta (chum salmon), 405 nucleotides. RefSeq lists it as uncharacterized. Lineage: Eukaryota; Metazoa; Chordata; Actinopteri; Salmoniformes; Salmonidae. The transcript has 3 exons. The record is from RefSeq and is a predicted model, not a curated record.
AGGUGGGGCUCAAAACAGGUGGGGCUCAAAACAGGUGGGGCUCUAAACAGGUGGGGCUCUAAACAGGUGGGGCUCAAAACAGGUGGGGCUCAAAACAGGUGGGGCUCAAAACAGGUGGGGCUCAAAACAGGUGGGGCUCUAAACAGGUGGGGCUCUAAACAGGUGGGGCUCAAAACAGGUGGGGCUCAAAACAGGUGGGGCUCAAAACAGGUGGGGCUCAAAACAGGUGGGGCUCAAAACAGGUGGGGCUCAAAACAGGUGGGGCUCAAAACAGGUGGGGCUCUAAACAGGUGGGGCUCAAAACAGGUGGGGCUCAAAACAGGUGGGGCUCUAAACAGGUGGGGCUCAAAACAGGUGGGGCUCAAAACAGGUGGGGCUCAAAACAGGUGGGGCUCUCAACAGGUG